GACGAACCGUGCGAACGUUGUUCGGAAUCACUGGGCUUAAAGGGUGCGUAGGCGGUCGGCCGCGUCCGGGGUGAAAUCCCACGGCUCAACCGUGGAACGGCCUCGGAUACGGGCGGCCUCGAGGGGGGUAGGGGCAUCUGGAACUGUGAGUGGAGCGGUGAAAUGCGUUGAUAUUCACAGGAACUCCGGUGGCGAAGGCGAGGUGCUGGACCCCAUCUGACGCUGAGGCGCGAAAGCCAGGGGAGCGAACGGG
This 253-nucleotide ribosomal RNA is filed under the name uncultured bacterium. Its description in RNAcentral is "partial 16S ribosomal RNA". It matches the Rfam family "Bacterial small subunit ribosomal RNA", at positions 524 to 776 of the family's 1533-position model. The record is from RNAcentral.